RNAcentral lists this ribosomal RNA (253 nucleotides) under uncultured bacterium. Its description in RNAcentral is "partial 16S ribosomal RNA". It matches the Rfam family "Bacterial small subunit ribosomal RNA", at positions 524 to 776 of the family's 1533-position model. The record is from RNAcentral.
UACGGAGGGUGCAAGCGUUGUUCGGAUUUAUUGGGCGUAAAGGGCGUGUAGGCGGUUCGUUAAGUCUGAUGUGAAAGCCCCGGGCUCAACCCGGGAAGUGCAUUGGAAACUGGCGAACUUGAGUACGGGAGAGGGCAGUGGAAUUCCUAGUGUAGGAGUGAAAUCCGUAGAUAUUAGGAGGAACACCGGUGGCGAAGGCGGCUGCCUGGAGCUUUGCUGACGCUGAGGCGCGAAAGCGUGGGGAGCGAACAGG